This 395-nucleotide ribosomal RNA is filed under the name uncultured bacterium. RNAcentral's name for it is "partial 16S ribosomal RNA". It matches the Rfam family "Bacterial small subunit ribosomal RNA", at positions 523 to 917 of the family's 1533-position model. The record is from RNAcentral.
AUACGUAGGGAGCGAGCGUUGUCCGGAAUUACUGGGUGUAAAGGGAGCGUAGGCGGGAGUGCAAGUCAGAUGUGAAAUACAUGGGCUCAACCCAUGGGCUGCAUUUGAAACUGCAUUUCUUGAGUGAAGUAGAGGUAAGCGGAAUUCCUGGUGUAGCGGUGAAAUGCGUAGAUAUCAGGAGGAACACCGGUGGCGAAGGCGGCUUACUGGGCUUUUACUGACGCUGAGGCUCGAAAGCGUGGGGAGCAAACAGGAUUAGAUGCCCUGGUUGUCCACACUGUAAACGAUGAAUACUAGGUGUGGGGGGACUGACCCCCUCCGUGCCGCAGUUAACAAAAUAAGUAUUCCACCUGGGGAGUACGAUCGCAAGAUUGAAACUCAAAUGAAUUGGCGGG